Molecule: unclassified non-coding RNA, 284 nt
Filed under: uncultured fungus
Lineage: Eukaryota; Fungi
Description: partial contains small subunit ribosomal RNA, internal transcribed spacer 1, and 5.8S ribosomal RNA
Rfam family: Eukaryotic small subunit ribosomal RNA (bases 1-73)
Source: RNAcentral
ACAAACUUGGUCAUUUAGAGGAAGUAAAAGUCGUAACAAGGUCUCCGUAGGUGAACCUGCGGAGGGAUCAUUACCGAGCGAAGGGCCUCUGUGCCCGACCGCCCACCCCUUGUCGUCCCCUCGCACCCGUGCCUCGGGGGCUACCCGCGCGCCCUUCCGGGCGACGCGGGGCCCCCGGUGGACCCGAAACACCGCGCUCCGUGCCGUCAUAGUCGAGUGAGCGAAUCGCACACAAAACUUUCAACAAUGGAUCUCUUGGUUCUGGCAUCGAUGAAGAACGCAGC